This 253-nucleotide ribosomal RNA is filed under the name uncultured bacterium. RNAcentral's name for it is "partial 16S ribosomal RNA". It matches the Rfam family "Bacterial small subunit ribosomal RNA", at positions 524 to 776 of the family's 1533-position model. The record is from RNAcentral.
UACGAAGGGGGCUAGCGUUGUUCGGAUUUACUGGGCGUAAAGCGCACGUAGGCGGAUCGUUAAGUCAGGGGUGAAAUCCUGGGGCUCAACCCCAGAACUGCCUUUGAUACUGGCGAUCUCGAGUCCGGAAGAGGUGAGUGGAACUCCUAGUGUAGAGGUGGAAUUCGUAGAUAUUAGGAAGAACACCAGUGGCGAAGGCGGCUCACUGGACCGGAACUGACGCUGAGGCGCGAAAGCGUGGGGAGCAAACAGG